UUCAAGUUAUUAGGUUUUCCAACUAAAGAAUAAACAGGACUUAGUAUUUUUUUUCUAACAUGUAUCAAUUUAAUCAAAAUUUGUAUGUAGUUCAAGAAAGCACUAGCUACCAUAAGUAAAAUUCAAAGUAGUUUUACUGGAAAAAAUUCACUGCUACUAUUGGUAUAAUAGGAGAUAAAAAAGGCAAAUGAAUUAGAAAAGUAAUCACUUCCUUUAGUUAAUUCAGUUUUUGAUAUUGAAAAAAAUCAACUUUUAUUUAUUUUCUAAAGAUUUUAUGUAUUUAUUUGAGAGAGAGCAACAGCACAUUAUCACGAGUAGAGUGUUGAGGCAGAGGGAGAGGGAGAAUCAGAUUCCCCACUGAAUGAGGAGCCUGAUGUAGAGCUCGAUCCCAGGGCUCUGAGAUCAUUACCUGAGCCAAAGUUAGAUGCUUAACCAACUGAGCUACCCAGGUGCCCCCCGCAUCAGCUUUUAAAAACAGGUUCUACAGAUGAAAGGCCUCAAAGAUGACCUAAUCACAAUUAUAAAGGCAAAUGAAUUAAACUGCUCUGAGUUAAUUUUUCAAUCCUCUAAAUUCCCUAUUAGCCAGUCAAAAUUAUUAAUCUCAUUUUAUUUAAUCAGUGGCCACCACAAGAUAUUAGCUGUUUAAUUGAUUUUAAUUCUGACAUACACAGUAUCAAACAUUUUUUCUCUGGAAAUAUACCCAAAUCUCAAACAGUUCCUCUGUACUCCAGUUCCACCAAACCUAUAAUUCACUGAGAUAUUCCACCCACUAAAAUCUUCUCAAAGGAAUAUAAAAGAUAUCUUAAAAAACCAAAAAGCUACAGAAGGAAAACUUUCGGUAAGCAGGCAGUAUAUUUUCUAGAAAGAUGAGAGAGACACAUAUUCAAAUAAGAGAACUUGUCACCAUCCCUAAAACUAUAUGCAUUAUUCUCACUCACACAGACACACACAGAUACACAUCCCCACACAGAGGUACCUGAAUCAGCAUUUGUAAAUGUCAGGGGUCCUUCAAAAGCAUUUGCUUCAAAUUGGGUCGAAAGGUUAAUUAGUCUUGACUCUUGGUCUUUCUGUGUUUUCAGGCCUUGAUUAGAUGUUUCAUCAUUUAUAACGUAAAUAAACUUUUUUGUUUUCUUUUUCAAACUAGAUAUUAAACCUAAAUUCUUCAAAGCUACAGAAGUAUGUUUGAUAGUUGCUGGCCAGCUUCCAUCAUCAAUUGAACUUGUACAUAAAGAAUCCUCUUUCUGAGAGCAAAUAGUAUGUUUUUCCAAUCCACUUUCAGAGGCUUCAGGUUCUUUAAAGUUUGGAUUAGUCAUAUUAUUUGAGAACAUUGCAUUGGACAUCCCUUCAGGUGAUUCUCUUAUCCUGAAUAUAGACUUUCUGAUACCCUGAAGUGGAGAAGCUAUUAAAGUAGUUUCAUAUAUUGCUUGCUUUACCGAAACAACGGAAUCUUCAUGAGAUUCAAGACACUGCCCUUCGUUUAUCUUAUUUACUACUAUUUCCUCAUUUAACGUUUUCUCUGAAUACUUUGGUACAUUUGAAAUCUGUGGCCAAGAAUUUUCCAAAGUAAUGAAGUUGGUGCAUUCUUUAUCUGUGAUUAUGAGGUCUUUUUCUGAAUUAUUUUGGUCAUAAGAAGUAUGCAAUAGAGGUGUUUUCUCCAUCUGAGCUCCAUUUAGACUUGAGAGGGUUAGGUCAGACCAUCCAGAGGCUGAAGACAGUACAAUUUCCUUGGAGAUUUUGUCAGUUCCAUUCCCAAAGGGCUUCUCAUGUGUUACAUUCCAAUCUAAUGGAUGACUGUCAUUUGGUUCCAUUUCAGAUACCAAUGAAUGUUUAUUUUCUUUCAUUUGCUUUUUAGCUUCUUCACAUUCACUGGUUUUUGUCUCAUUAAAAAUAUUUUUCCUAGUUUUGCUAGUUUUUAUUUUUUGUAGAUUUCUUGUUUUAUAUUUAGGAACACAUAAUGAAAAACUAUCUUCUUCUUCAGAAACAUCUAGAACUUUUUCAUGUACUUCAUCCUCUAGGACAUUUGGUGUAGACUUUACAAAAUGGUCUUUGGUGCUAUUUACUUUACCAAAUGAAUUCC
Molecule: long non-coding RNA, 2077 nt
Filed under: Canis lupus familiaris (dog)
Lineage: Eukaryota; Metazoa; Chordata; Mammalia; Carnivora; Canidae
Description: lncRNA (ENSCAFG00845015679.1)
Source: RNAcentral